AACUUGAGAGUUUGAUCCUGGCUCAGAACGAACGCUGGCGGCAGGCUUAACACAUGCAAGUCGAACGCCCCGCAAGGGGAGUGGCAGACGGGUGAGUAACGCGUGGGAAUCUACCCAGAACUUCGGAACAACUGAGGGAAACUUCAGCUAAUACCGGAUACGCCCUACGGGGGAAAGAUUUAUCGGUUCUGGAUGAGCCCGCGUUGGAUUAGCUAGUUGGUGAGGUAAUGGCUCACCAAGGCGACGAUCCAUAGCUGGUCUGAGAGGAUGAUCAGCCACACUGGGACUGAGACACGGCCCAGACUCCUACGGGAGGCAGCAGUGGGGAAUAUUGGACAAUGGGCGAAAGCCUGAUCCAGCCAUGCCGCGUGAGUGAUGAAGGCCUUAGGGUUGUAAAGCUCUUUCAGUAGGGAAGAUAAUGACGGUACCUACAGAAG
Molecule: ribosomal RNA, 437 nt
Filed under: Devosia nanyangense
Lineage: Bacteria; Pseudomonadati; Pseudomonadota; Alphaproteobacteria; Hyphomicrobiales; Devosiaceae
Description: bacterial SSU rRNA
Rfam family: Bacterial small subunit ribosomal RNA
Source: RNAcentral